AGACGAGUAGCUUAAGUAAAGCAUAAACUUUUUAAGUUUAGGAUAUUUGGAAAAUCUCGGCUA
Molecule: transfer RNA, 63 nt
Filed under: Trichuris muris
Lineage: Eukaryota; Metazoa; Nematoda; Enoplea; Trichinellida; Trichuridae
Description: tRNA-Lys
Rfam family: tRNA
About the family: Transfer RNA (tRNA) molecules are approximately 80 nucleotides in length.
Source: RNAcentral